GACUCCGUGAAGCUGGAUUCGCUAGUAAUCGCGCAUCAGCCAUGGCGCGGUGAAUACGUUCCCGGGCCUUGUACACACCGCCCGUCAAGCCAUGGAAGCCGGGGGCGCUUGAAGUGCGUUGCCGCAAGGCGCGCCCUAGAGCGAAACCGGUGACUGGGGCUAAGUCGUAACAAGGUAUC
Molecule: ribosomal RNA, 179 nt
Filed under: uncultured bacterium
Lineage: Bacteria
Description: partial 16S ribosomal RNA
Rfam family: Bacterial small subunit ribosomal RNA
Source: RNAcentral